This 255-nucleotide ribosomal RNA is filed under the name uncultured bacterium. RNAcentral describes it as "partial 16S ribosomal RNA". It matches the Rfam family "Bacterial small subunit ribosomal RNA", at positions 524 to 776 of the family's 1533-position model. The record is from RNAcentral.
UACAGAGGUCCCGAGCGUUGUUCGGAUUUACUGGGCGUAAAGAGCGCGCAGGCGGUCGUUUAAGUCGAAUGUGAAAGCCCCCCGGCUCAACUGGGGAGGGUCAUUCGAUACUGAUCGAACUUGAAGGCAGGAGAGAGAAGUGGAAUUCCCGGUGUAGUGGUGAAAUGCGUAGAUAUCGGGAGGAACACCAGUGGCGAAGGCGACUUCUUGGCCUGUUCUUGACGCUGAGGCGCGAAAGCUGGGGGAGCAAACGGG